Molecule: microRNA precursor, 122 nt
Organism: Brassica oleracea var. oleracea
Lineage: Eukaryota; Viridiplantae; Streptophyta; Magnoliopsida; Brassicales; Brassicaceae
Rfam family: MIR9563 microRNA precursor family
Source: Rfam
GGAAUAUAAGAAUCCGUCUCUUAGUUUUUAACUAAAAAAGCUAGAACCGGUUCUUAAAUAAGAUAUUUAAGAACCGGUUCUAGAUUUUUAGUUAAAAGUUAAGAGACAGAUUCUUAUAUUCC